This 624-nucleotide ribosomal RNA is filed under the name Oscillatoria sp. KCTC AG10184. RNAcentral describes it as "bacterial SSU rRNA". It matches the Rfam family "Bacterial small subunit ribosomal RNA", at positions 115 to 773 of the family's 1533-position model. Lineage: Bacteria; Bacillati; Cyanobacteriota; Cyanophyceae; Oscillatoriales; Oscillatoriaceae. The record is from RNAcentral.
ACGUAAGAAUCUGCCUCUAGGACGGGGACAACAGUUGGAAACGGCUGCUAAACCCCGAUGAGCCGAAGGGUGAAAGAUUAAUCGCCUAGAGAGGAGCUUGCGUCUGAUUAGCUAGUUGGUGGGGUAAGAGCCCACCAAGGCUACGAUCAGUAGCUGGUCUGAGAGGAUGAUCAGCCACACUGGGACUGAGACACGGCCCAGACUCCUACGGGAGGCAGCAGUGGGGAAUUUUCCGCAAUGGGCGAAAGCUGACGGAGCAAGACCGCGUGGGGGAGGAAGGUUCUUGGGUUGUAAACCCCUUUUCUCAGGGAAGAAGAACUGACGGUACCUGAGGAAUAAGCAUCGGCUAACUCCGUGCCAGCAGCCGCGGUAAUACGGAGGAUGCAAGCGUUAUCCGGAAUUAUUGGGCGUAAAGCGUUCCGUAGGUGGUCAUCCAAGUCUGCUGUUAAAGACCGGGGCUUAACCCCGGAAAGGCUGUGGAAACUGAACAGCUAGAGUAUGGUAGGGGUAGGGGGAAUUCCUGGUGUAGCGGUGAAAUGCGUAGAUAUCAGGAAGAACACCGGUGGCGAAGGCGCCUUACUGGGCCAUAACUGACACUGAGGGACGAAAGCUAGGGGAGCGAAU